GAGGAUGUGGCUCAGGUGGUAGAGUGCGUGCUAGGCAUGCAUGAGGUCCUGGGUUCGAUCCCCAGCACCUCCU
This 73-nucleotide transfer RNA is filed under the name Camelus bactrianus (Bactrian camel). It matches the Rfam family "tRNA". From Rfam's summary of the family: Transfer RNA (tRNA) molecules are approximately 80 nucleotides in length. Their secondary structure includes four short double-helical elements and three loops (D, anti-codon, and T loops). Further hydrogen bonds mediate the characteristic L-shaped molecular structure. tRNAs have two regions of fundamental functional importance: the anti-codon, which is responsible for specific mRNA codon recognition, and the 3' end, to which the tRNAs corresponding amino acid is attached (by aminoacyl-tRNA synthetases). tRNAs cope with the degeneracy of the genetic code in two manners: having more than one tRNA (with a specific anti-codon) for a particular amino acid; and 'wobble' base-pairing, i.e. permitting non-standard base-pairing at the 3rd anti-codon position. RNAcentral also lists the same sequence under 1 other name. Lineage: Eukaryota; Metazoa; Chordata; Mammalia; Artiodactyla; Camelidae. The record is from Rfam by way of RNAcentral.